GAACGCUCUCUGGCUUCGGUCAGAGGGAGUGGCGGACGGGUGAGUAACACAUGGGUGACCUGCCUUCAGGUGAGGAAUACCACCGGGAAACCGGUGACAAUACCGCAUACGUUCGCACGUGCAGACGUGCGAGCAAAGCUCUUUGGGGCGCCUGAGGAUGGGCCCGUGGCCGAUUAGCCGGUUGGUGGGGUAAGAGCCUACCAAGGCGACGAUCGGUAGCUGGUCUGAGAGGACGAGCAGCCACACUGGGAUUGAGAACGGCCCAUACUCCUACGGGGGGCAGCAGUGAGGAAUUUUCCGCAAUGGGCGCAAGCCUGACGGAGCAACGCCGCGUGCAGGACGACGGUCUUCGGAUCGUAAACUGCUUUUCCCAGGGACGAAACCGACGGUACCUGGGGAAUAAGCCCCGGCUAACUACGUGCCAGCAGCCGCGGUAAU
This 438-nucleotide ribosomal RNA is filed under the name uncultured bacterium. RNAcentral describes it as "bacterial SSU rRNA". It matches the Rfam family "Bacterial small subunit ribosomal RNA", at positions 64 to 524 of the family's 1533-position model. The record is from RNAcentral.